GCCACAGAGUGUGGGCCAUCUCAGAAGGCAAGAGGCCCCAGAAAAUGGGGUGGUUAGUUUUUUAUAAGCUGGAUAAUUAGUGGGAGGCUUCCCAGGUGGCUCAGUGAGGCUGUGCCCUGCCCUCUUCUCUCCUGUUUCAAAGGCAUUCACAGGCCUCAGGCCCUGAACAAGAUCUGAGCUUCAGAAGGCAUCUCUGCAGGCUGCCAGCUCCGAGAGCAGCCGCAUGUGUCUGAAACCACCGAAUCAGAAAGGUGUCAUAAAUGAAAUCUCUACAGGAGUCCUUGGAGCCUGGCUCCCUGCCCAGAAUGCCAAGGGCCCCAGGAGGAGGCUUCUGCCAGUCACAUGAGCAGCUUGGCUCUCCCAGCUGACGGGUGCUUCUCCCGGAGGGUCUAAGAUGUGCCAGGUGGAUUCUUAACCACUGAGCCACCUGGGAAGCUUGGUUUUGCCUACUGAACGUCACGUCAGUGGAAACAUACAGUCUGUAUGCU
Bos taurus (domestic cattle) is the source of this 488-nucleotide long non-coding RNA. The record is from Ensembl. Lineage: Eukaryota; Metazoa; Chordata; Mammalia; Artiodactyla; Bovidae.